Molecule: ribosomal RNA, 465 nt
Filed under: uncultured bacterium
Lineage: Bacteria
Description: bacterial SSU rRNA
Rfam family: Bacterial small subunit ribosomal RNA
Source: RNAcentral
GCCAGACUCCUACGGGAGGCAGCAGUGAGGAAUAUUGGUCAAUGGUCGGGAGACUGAACCAGCCAAGCCGCGUGAGGGAGGAAGGUACAGAGUAUCGUAAACCUCUUUUGUCAGGGAACAAAGACUGGGACGCGUCCCCGGAUGAGUGUACCUGAAGAAAAAGCAUCGGCUAACUCCGUGCCAGUAGCCGCGGUAAUACGGAGGAUGCGAGCGUUAUCCGGAUUUAUUGGGUUUAAAGGGUGCGCGGGCGGUCUGUUAAGUCAGCGGUCAAAUGUCGGGGCUCAACCCCGGCCUGCCGUUGAAACUGGCGGCCUCGAGUGGGCGAGAAGUAUGCGGAAUGCGUGGUGUAGCGGUGAAAUGCAUAGAUAUCACGCAGAACUCCGAUUGCGAAGGCAGCGUACCGGCGCCCAACUGACGCUCAUGCACGAAAGCGUGGGUAUCGAACAGGAUUAGAUACCCCGGUAU